UACGUAGGGUGCAAGCGUUGUCCGGAAUUAUUGGGCGUAAAGAGCUCGUAGGCGGUCUGUCGCGUCGGAUGUGAAAACCCAGGGCUCAACCCUGGGCCUGCAUUCGAUACGGGCAGACUAGAGUUCGGUAGGGGAGACUGGAAUUCCUGGUGUAGCGGUGAAAUGCGCAGAUAUCAGGAGGAACGCCGGUGGCGAAGGCGGGUCUCUGGGCCGAAACUGACGCUGAGGAGCGAAAGCGUGGGGAGCAAACAGG
This 253-nucleotide ribosomal RNA is filed under the name uncultured bacterium. Its description in RNAcentral is "partial 16S ribosomal RNA". It matches the Rfam family "Bacterial small subunit ribosomal RNA", at positions 524 to 776 of the family's 1533-position model. The record is from RNAcentral.